UCCUACGGGAGGCAGCAGUAGGGAAUUUUCCGCAAUGGACGAAAGUCUGACGGAGCAACGCCGCGUGAGCGAUGAAGGCCUUCGGGUCGUAAAGCUCUGUUGUUAGGGAAGAACAAGUACCGUUCGAAUAGGGCGGUACCUUGACGGUACCUAACCAGAAAGCCACGGCUAACUACGUGCCAGCAGCCGCGGUAAUACGUAGGUGGCAAGCGUUGUCCGGAAUUAUUGGGCGUAAAGCGCGCGCAGGCGGUUCCUUAAGUCUGAUGUGAAAGCCCACGGCUCAACCGUGGAGGGUCAUUGGAAACUGGGGAACUUGAGUGCAGAAGAGGAAAGCGGAAUUCCACGUGUAGCGGUGAAAUGCGUAGAGAUGUGGAGGAACACCAGUGGCGAAGGCGGCUUUCUGGUCUGUAACUGACGCUGAGGCGCGAAAGCGUGGGGAGCAAACAGGAUUAGAUACCCUGGUAGUCCACGCCGUAAACGAUGAGUGCUAAGUGUUAGGGGGUUUCCGCCCCUUAGUGCUGCAC
Molecule: ribosomal RNA, 524 nt
Filed under: uncultured Bacillus sp.
Lineage: Bacteria; Bacillati; Bacillota; Bacilli; Caryophanales; Bacillaceae
Description: bacterial SSU rRNA
Rfam family: Bacterial small subunit ribosomal RNA
Source: RNAcentral